GACGAACGCUGGCGGCGUGCUUAACACAUGCAAGUCGAACGGAAAGGCCCUGCUUUUGUGGGGUGCUCGAGUGGCGAACGGGUGAGUAACACGUGAGUAACCUGCCCUUGACUUUGGGAUAACUUCAGGAAACUGGGGCUAAUACCGGAUAGGAGCUCCUGCUGCAUGGUGGGGGUUGGAAAGUUUCGGCGGUUGGGGAUGGACUCGCGGCUUAUCAGCUUGUUGGUGGGGUAGUGGCUUACCAAGGCUUUGACGGGUAGCCGGCCUGAGAGGGUGACCGGCCACAUUGGGACUGAGAUACGGCCCAGACUCCUACGGGAGGCAGCGGUGGGGAAUAUUGCACAAUGGGCGGAAGCCUGAUGCAGCGACGCCGCGUGCGGGAUGACGGCCUUCGGGUGGUAAACCGCUUUCGCCUGUGACGAAGCGUGAGUGACGGUAAUGGGUAAAGAAGCACCGGCUAACUACGUG
RNAcentral lists this ribosomal RNA (468 nucleotides) under uncultured bacterium. RNAcentral describes it as "partial 16S ribosomal RNA". It matches the Rfam family "Bacterial small subunit ribosomal RNA", at positions 28 to 507 of the family's 1533-position model. The record is from RNAcentral.